GUGUGCUUUGAAGAAGGACAUCUAAUCGGAGUAGGAGAAUGCAUUCUAGGUGGACUUUCUCUAUACAUGUUGCAGUGUUUCAAGCAUAUCUCUCACUAUAGAAGUCCAAAUGAUGUGAUCUUGGAUCAUUAAAAAGCUAUACGGCCAAGCUACAACUUUCAUGUUAACCACUUUUCAUAGUUCUACUUGGAAGGGGAUCAAAAAUCAUGUUGAAGUCAAUACACUGCAAUAAGACAUGAUUGCUCAAGUUAAUGGCCUUAAUGUUGAGGCCACUAAGGGACCAGUGCUACGGCACCCCGACUACUCAACUUCGCCUCAGCCUUGAAUAUCAUCAGCAUUGUAUUGCCUAAGCAUUCAUGGUCGCAUUGAAGAGGAAGUUAGAAAAAAUUUACCUUUGAAGAGUUUAUGAGAGGAAAAGACUUAUGGGACACUUGAACUUCUAUUUAGACACAAUUGAGAGCCUAUUUAAGCAUCCUUUUAGAGCAUGUACAACAAACAAUAAAGGGAGAAUUAAGAAACAAUUAAGCUAGAAUUUUCUAAAGAAAAAUGAGCAUUAAAGCUAGCAAGGAAGCAAAGAAAAUAAGGAAGAUUGUAUAUCAAAAGCGUGAUAAAUAUUAGAGUUAUUUCUUUUCUUGUUAUCUUUUUACUUCCUUAUUUAGUUUUGA
This 665-nucleotide long non-coding RNA is filed under the name Theobroma cacao (cacao). RNAcentral's name for it is "long non-coding RNA (TCAC_LNC002975)". Lineage: Eukaryota; Viridiplantae; Streptophyta; Magnoliopsida; Malvales; Malvaceae. The record is from RNAcentral.